UACUUAAAAGCUAGCUACACAUAA
RNAcentral lists this ribosomal RNA (24 nucleotides) under Nothobranchius furzeri (turquoise killifish). RNAcentral's name for it is "partial 16S ribosomal RNA". Lineage: Eukaryota; Metazoa; Chordata; Actinopteri; Cyprinodontiformes; Nothobranchiidae. The record is from RNAcentral.